Salmo salar (Atlantic salmon) is the source of this 54-nucleotide non-coding RNA. Lineage: Eukaryota; Metazoa; Chordata; Actinopteri; Salmoniformes; Salmonidae. The record is from Rfam.
UGCAUUCACUACUGUAAGUUGCUCUGGAUAAGAGUGUCUGCUAAAUGACGUAAA